CCUGAUGACCAUAGCGAGUCGGAACCACCUGACACCAUCCCGAACUCAGAAGUGAAACGGCUCAGCGCCGAUGGUAGUGCGGAGUUAUCCGUGUGAGAGUAGGACAUUGUCAGGC
RNAcentral lists this ribosomal RNA (115 nucleotides) under Gammaproteobacteria bacterium AqS3. The record is from RNAcentral. Lineage: Bacteria; Pseudomonadati; Pseudomonadota; Gammaproteobacteria.